Mauremys reevesii (Reeves's turtle) is the source of this 409-nucleotide long non-coding RNA. RefSeq lists it as uncharacterized. The record is from RefSeq and is a predicted model, not a curated record. The transcript is spliced from 3 exons. NCBI's taxonomy places the organism in Eukaryota, Metazoa, Chordata, Testudines, Geoemydidae.
CAAAUGGGAGAGAAAACUGGAAGCCCCUUGGUGGAGAGAGAAUGCAGGAGAUCCCCUAUGCUGGCCAAUCUUAAUGGACAGAGGGUGGAAGAAUCCCUCUGAAGAUACAGAAAGAGGAAUGGGCCUGUUAGGUGCUGGGUAAGGACUACAGGCUAGUGCACCUUCCCUAAGAUGGCAGCUGCAGUGAACCACUGAAGCAUCUCUGGACUAUGGAAGCAAGGACUGCUUAUGGUCAACACAGGCAGGCACUGCUUGGAGAAGAGGGGAAGCAAUCAGGAGAUUUCUUUUCAAGGUGCAAAGGGAAGUGUUUGUUUUAUUGCAACAAUUGAAAGCCAGCACACUUGUAGAUAUAGCAGCCACUGUGGAAAGCUUCACUCAUGAACGCACUUUCCUUUUGGAAGCUGGCAGG